RNAcentral lists this ribosomal RNA (253 nucleotides) under uncultured bacterium. Its description in RNAcentral is "partial 16S ribosomal RNA". It matches the Rfam family "Bacterial small subunit ribosomal RNA", at positions 524 to 776 of the family's 1533-position model. The record is from RNAcentral.
UACGUAGGGUGCGAGCGUUAAUCGGAAUUACUGGGCGUAAAGCGUGCGCAGGCGGUUCGUUGUGUCGGCGGUGAAAGCCCCGGGCUCAACCUGGGAAUGGCCGUUGAAACUGGCGAACUGGAGUGUGGCAGAGGGGGGUGGAAUUCCGCAUGUAGCAGUGAAAUGCGUAGAGAUGCGGAGGAACACCGAUGGCGAAGGCAGCCCCCUGGGCUGACACUGACGCUCAGGCACGAAAGCGUGGGGAGCAAACAGG